Nicotiana attenuata is the source of this 1091-nucleotide RNA transcript. RefSeq lists it as uncharacterized. The transcript is spliced from 3 exons. NCBI's taxonomy places the organism in Eukaryota, Viridiplantae, Streptophyta, Magnoliopsida, Solanales, Solanaceae. The record is from RefSeq and is a predicted model, not a curated record.
AAAAUAGAAUGGAAACUGAAUUCUCAAAAUCCCUUCUUAACUAUCAACCAACCAUUCAUCCUAACGGAUAAAACUAUGGCCAUGGCCACCACCACCACCUCCGCCGCCGCCCCACUCCUCUCUCCGACCACCAAUUCUCUGCACAAAAUUACCAGAACAGCCUUCAUAUCUGCCACCCCAAAAUGCAGUAGGCCAAUAACCAAGCUCCACGUGUCCUCCAAGCCAGUUGCAGCCACAGCAUCGUCGUCGAAACCCAAUCAAGAAACCAUCUUUUUCGACGGCGGAGCUCACUACGGAGACCUCUUAGCUAACCUUCUUCUGGGUUUCACUCUUGUUUGGAUGCCGUUAACUCUAGCUGCAGUAUUUAGGGCUUUCUACUUGAGGUACAGGUUUACAAAUUUGAGGGUCACUGUUAUUUCAGGGCUAACUGGUCAAGAGAGGAGUGACUUUUCAUAUAAAGUGGUCAAAGAUGUUCAGGUUGUGCCAAGGUUCAUUGGGGAAUGGGGUGAUGUCAUUAUCACUUUGAAGGAUGGGACUAAGGUGGAUUUGAGAAGUGUUCCUAAAUUUAGAGAGAUUGCUAAGUAUUGUCUUUCUAUGACUGAUAAUCAAGAGCCUGGUGUUUUGAAGGAGACUGAUGGGCCUAAAGGAUUUUGAGAAAUGGUUAAUUUGUUGAUUUCAUACUUUUGUUCUCUUUCUGAAGAGCCUCAUCGCUUCGUGGUAUGAAUGACAGAGAUCAAUGAAGAGCAGUAUAGAAAGAUCAAAUGGUCCGAGCAGCAGAGAAAGAUCAGAUGGUCCUUUUAAUAUCCCUCGCCAAUGUCGUUCUGUGAUACCUUGCAAGUCUACUCACCAGCGAAUUGUACAUUUGGAUAGCUGAGCUUUUGCAAUAUACUGGAAUAAUGCUAAAGAAGUACUUGGCCUAAAAGGAUUAGUCCACCUGGAAAAGCAGGAUUUUUUUUCUAAAGUUAUGAUUAAUAAAGUAUAGCUAAAUAUAUGUGCAAUUCAUAGUAAUUAAGACAUCACCUUCUAUUGUGUUGUACUUUAUUUUAGUGAAACGCUUGUGUAAAAAUAUUACUAAUAGAACUUGCCUCUUC